This 452-nucleotide ribosomal RNA is filed under the name uncultured bacterium. RNAcentral's name for it is "bacterial SSU rRNA". It matches the Rfam family "Bacterial small subunit ribosomal RNA", at positions 8 to 507 of the family's 1533-position model. The record is from RNAcentral.
AGAGUUUGAUCCUGGCUCAGAACGAACGCUGGCGGCAUGCCUAACACAUGCAAGUCGAACGAGACCUUCGGGUCUAGUGGCGCACGGGUGCGUAACGCGUGGGAACCUGCCCUUCGGUUCGGAACAACAGUUAGAAAUGACUGCUAAUACCGGAUAAUGACGUAAGUCCAAAGAUUUAUCGCCGAAGGAUGAGCCCGCGUAAGAUUAGGUAGUUGGUGGGGUAAUGGCCUACCAAGCCGACGAUCUUUAGCUGGUCUGAGAGGAUGAUCAGCCACACUGGGACUGAGACACGGCCCAGACUCCUACGGGAGGCAGCAGUGGGGAAUAUUGGACAAUGGGCGAAAGCCUGAUCCAGCAAUGCCGCGUGAGUGAUGAAGGCCUUAGGGUUGUAAAGCUCUUUACCAGGGAUGAUAAUGACAGUACCUGGAGAAUAAGCUCCGGCUAACUCCGUG